AAGCUCCUACUUGUUAUUUCACUAUUUGAGGCCUCACUUGAUGAUGUAUCAUCUAUUUUAUUUAUUUUUUUUGUAAUGUAAUCUUGUUUGUUUUCUAAUGAAAUUAUGUAUUAUUAAUCGAUCAACCAGUCUUCUCAGUCGAUCGACCAUAGAAAGUCGAGCGGAUCUCUUGCUCAAUUGAUCUAGCCAAUCGAUCAGGGUGUCUGGUUAGUCGAUUGCACUCAGUCAACCUGUAUUUUUAGUCGGUCGACCA
This 253-nucleotide long non-coding RNA is filed under the name Elaeis guineensis (African oil palm). RNAcentral's name for it is "long non-coding RNA (EGUI_LNC001264)". Lineage: Eukaryota; Viridiplantae; Streptophyta; Magnoliopsida; Arecales; Arecaceae. The record is from RNAcentral.